GAUGAAGAACGUAGUGAAAUGCGAUAAGUAAUGUGAAUUGCAGAAUUCAGUGAAUCAUCGAAUCUUUGAACGCACAUUGCGCCCGCCAGCACUCUGGCGGGUAUGCCUGUUCGAGCGUCAUUUCAACCAUCAAGCCCCCAGGGGCUUGUGCUGGGGCCCUGCGGCUGCCCGCAGGCCCUGAAAACCAGUGGCGGGCUCGCUAGUCACACCGAGCGCAGUAGCACAUCUCGCUCAGGGCGUGCGGCGGGCUCCUGCCGUGAAACCCCCCACUGUAACCCCAAAGGUUGACCUCGGAUCAGGUAGGAAUACCCGCUGAACUUAAGCAUAUCAAUAAGCGGAGGA
This 342-nucleotide unclassified non-coding RNA is filed under the name soil metagenome. Its description in RNAcentral is "partial contains 5.8S ribosomal RNA, internal transcribed spacer 2, and large subunit ribosomal RNA". The stretch from base 1 to 120 matches the Rfam family "5.8S ribosomal RNA", at positions 35 to 154 of the family's 154-position model. The record is from RNAcentral.